Molecule: ribosomal RNA, 207 nt
Filed under: uncultured bacterium
Lineage: Bacteria
Description: partial 16S ribosomal RNA
Rfam family: Bacterial small subunit ribosomal RNA
Source: RNAcentral
CGCGUAGGCGGUUUAGUAAGUCGGAUGUGAAAGCCCCGGGCUUAACCUGGGAAUUGCAUUCGAUACUGCUUGACUAGAGUAUGGUAGAGGGAAGUGGAAUUCCAGGUGUAGCGGUGAAAUGCGUAGAUAUCUGGAGGAACAUCAGUGGCGAAGGCGACUUCCUGGACCAAUACUGACGCUGAGGUGCGAAAGCGUGGGGAGCAAACA